CUUCUGAAUGUUGACCUCGGAUU
Molecule: ribosomal RNA, 23 nt
Filed under: Fusarium poae
Lineage: Eukaryota; Fungi; Ascomycota; Sordariomycetes; Hypocreales; Nectriaceae
Description: partial 28S ribosomal RNA
Source: RNAcentral